GGAUUAGAUACCCUGGUAGUCCACGCUGUAAACGAUCAUUACUCGCUGUUGGCAAUACAUCGUCAGCGGCUAAGCGAAAGCGUUAAGUAAUGCACCUGGGGAGUACGUUCGCAAGAAUGAAACUCAAAGGAAUUGACGGGGGCCCGCACAAGCGGUGGAGCAUGUGGUUUAAUUCGAUGAUACGCGAGGAACCUUACCAGGGCUUAAAUGUAGUAUGACCUUCCCCGAAAGGGGAAUUCUCUUCGGAGCAAAUUACAAGGUGCUGCAUGGUUGUCGUCAGCUCGUGCCG
Molecule: ribosomal RNA, 289 nt
Filed under: uncultured bacterium
Lineage: Bacteria
Description: partial 16S ribosomal RNA
Rfam family: Bacterial small subunit ribosomal RNA
Source: RNAcentral